UAGUAACUGUUGCUCUCUUUGUCGACUCCAUGAUAAUUACAUUCUCCUCAUAUCUUAUCGUCGUUCACUUUUUUAUCUAAUGUUUUCAUUUUAUUAUCUUUCAUUUCAAUGACAUUUCCCAAUAGAGAAAUCUUAUGUUUUAACAACCUAAUAGGUAAAUUGUAAUUCAUCAAUUGAUUUUUCUCUUCUAAUUCUUUCAUUAUUCUGCUCAUAAAUUAGAAGGGUAUUAUUUCACUGGCAAUUUUAAUUCUAUUUUCAGGAUUAUCUGUCCUAUCGCCAACCAUCGAUCCUGUAUCAUCUGAAUCUUCACUUCUCUUGUCAGUAGAGCAAAUAAUGGAUGAUUUACUCACUAUUUUUUUCACGACCAGAUCAACUCUUCAGCUACCUUCUCGUUCGCCGCCAUAUUAGAUAUAUAUUUUUUGUAAUCAUAUGGCAUAUGGCAGUGUUAUGAACUCAUUAUCUGUUAGCUAUUUGAUUAUUAUUAUUAAAAUUACUUUAUUCAUCUUCAGAUGGUCGACUGCUAGCCAUAUCCUCUAGACACCUCCUAACACCACACUAUCAACGUGGUAUCAACAAGUAACUUAUUAGGGAAAGAUGUAACCAAUUCAAGGAGGUCUGUAUUGGAGCUAGACAAUCCCAAUGGACCAGCAUCAGGUCCGAUAAGAUGGCAUGGCGACUAAACCUCCACUACCAAUUUCUGAAUUCCUUCAUCACAAGGUCAUUUCCCUAAGUCCAGCAUAUCGAAAAGAUGACCGUCGAUGACAAGCCAGGUACUUUACCGAUGAAGAGUUUCAAUGGAAAACAAUGCUGAGGAGAGUAACACAGAUUAGCCUCCGUGCAAAAAGCAUGCCCUAAUGCCAUUAGAUCCGAGGGGCGACGGAAAUAUUAACUGCAAGGCUUCGAUUUUACAGCGAAGAUCAGCAAUAACAGGUAUCGUUCUGAGGCUUGCUCGAAUUUCGACAAGAACACAACGUUGGCGAACACUGAAAGAGUGCCAGAGGUACAGCGUCACCAGCAACAGGCACAAGUGAAUAUUCUAUCUCGAUGGUCAUACUACAUUUAGUACAUUAUUGAGUUUUCGUAAGGUGAUAUAAAUUUGUGUAAAGUUUCGUCGUUUCAUAGUAUAGUAUCUAAACAAUGAAUUAAAAGAAUGGCAUCUACAAGCACACAUAACAGUGUAAAUGAUCCUGAUUCUUGUUAUGACGGCAGUUUAAAAAAAAAAAGAAAAACUAUUUCUGACUCUCUUGCCUAUUUUGGUAUUCAUUUAGGAGAUCACGAUCACUACGGCAAAGUAACCAUACUCCAAUAUGAAGAUGGGAAGUGUAUUUGACAGAGAUCACUGUGUGUCAAACUGAUGAUCUCAGGAUGAAACACCGCAUUCCUCAGAUAAAGGGCGCACCUUCGAAAUUGGCUCAAGAACUUCAACAAAGUACAAUAUUUUUAUUUCCACCCCACUCUUUUUUAUUUAAUUAAUAUCUGGAAGCAUUUAUUUUUGAAACCUAAUAAGUAUAAGAUUAAUCCAAGACCCUCUCAGGCUGUACGAAUUAUGAUGAAGAUAUGCUUUAAUCUGGAGGAUGUUAUUGGUGAAAAAAACCAACUUAGAACUAGGGAACUUGCAAGAUGAGUAAUACAAGAAUGUUUUCCUACUAGCGUU
Molecule: long non-coding RNA, 1654 nt
Organism: Harmonia axyridis
Lineage: Eukaryota; Metazoa; Arthropoda; Insecta; Coleoptera; Coccinellidae
Exons: 2
Source: RefSeq, a predicted model, not a curated record